Myotis daubentonii (Daubenton's bat) is the source of this 2532-nucleotide long non-coding RNA. RefSeq lists it as uncharacterized. Lineage: Eukaryota; Metazoa; Chordata; Mammalia; Chiroptera; Vespertilionidae. The record is from RefSeq and is a predicted model, not a curated record.
CACGUGACGGCCGGGGUCGCUGCCGCGCGCCGGGCGGGAAAGGUGGGGCGGAGCGGCUCCGACCGGAGUCGGGGGCUGCCGGCGGACGCGGACGCGUCUCAUGCAUUAAUUUGACAAACAUUUAUUGAAGGUCUGGAGUUCUGUGACCAGAUUUUCUGAACUCCAACUCAUGACAGGUGAAAAAGAAUUUUUCUGGUUCUCUGUGUUCCCAUAAUCUUUCCUUUUGUUGAAGCAAAUUUUGUGUAUGUGUGUGUGUGCACGUGCGCUUCAGCAACCAGCUCUAACAAAGCCAUUCAACCGAAGUAAGAAUCAUCAGAGAGUGACACCACAAUUCUGGAUAUAGGGUAGAAAUAAGUAGGACCAGCAACACUAUUUAGUGCUGUCUUCUCUCUCAAUGACUCCUUCUCUAUCCUGUCUACUUAUUAUUCCCAAAAGAUUCUAACACCAACAAACAUACAAAUUAUAAACAAUAAGUAUAUAUUAAACCUGGUAUGAACCUUCCCACAGCAUUUUGUUGAUAAAUCUGUUUGGGUACUUACAUUUCCUUGUGGUGUCUUGUAACAUACCUUGUUCUCCUUCUAGACUUAAAGCCACUAGUGAGGUUACAUGAAUCUUAUGUGGCCUAGUAGGGUGUGUCUUAUGAGGUGAUGUUGUGUGUGUGUUGGGGGGGCGGUUCUAUACGUAUUACAGAAAUAUUUUAGGAUAAUGCUCAGCUAGGGACUCUUUGUCCCUCAGAAAAUUAGGUAAGUUUGCCUUGAAUGCCCACUUUUUUGGUUCUAAAGUCAAGAGCCUGUUUCCCUAAUCUAGUUUUUCUGAUUCUCUGAUGGGUUGUUUACACAUGCUUGCCUCCUUUUCUCUCCCACACAAACACUUCCCCACUGCCUGUGCCUAUAUUGAUAUAGACCUAAAGCUCGACCCAUGACCAAUUACCCGAAUAUCAACUCUCCUCAAGAAUUUAUGAAUUCUUUAACUUGGUACCAAAGAUUUAAGAGGGGUCACACUAUAUAGUAUACUAGGGGCCCAGUGCAUAAAAUUAGUGCACUCAGGGGGUCCCUCAGCCUGGCCUGCACCCUCUCACAGUCCGGGAGCCCUUGGGGGAUGUCUGACUGAUGUCCGUGGGGAGCGGGCCUAAGCUGCCAGUUGGACAUCCUUAGCGCUGCUGCUGAGGCGGGAGAGGCUCCCACCACUGCUGUUGCACUCACCAGCCAUGAGCCUGGCUUCUGGCUGAGCGGCGCUCCCCCUGUGGGAACGCACUGAUCACCAGGAGCAGCACCUGCAUUGAGCACCUGCCCCCUGGUUGUCAGUGCGCAUCAUAGUGACCAGUCGUUCCACCAUUUGGUCAAUUUGCAUAUUAGCCUUUUACUAUAUAGGAUGAUGCUCUUUAUCCUGAAUCUGGGACUACCUCUCUUUUCCACUCUCAGUAGAUUAACAAGAAAUUCUUUUCCUUUUCCAGGCUGUUACAGUUUAACCAUACUUAGAUUCUUCUGAUUCUCAAGUGUUAUUCCAAAUAAGAUCGUUUGGAAAUAUCUCCUCAAAAUAUACAUGUUCUUCUGAAAGGGAUACCAGAAAACACCAUUUUCCAAGCUUGGUACAUAAUCAAAUGAAUGGUUAUAUUUGCCUUACUAUAAAUUCUUCAUAAAAUAUUGAGGACCUAUGCCAGCUCUAAGUUAGCUCCCUGAGACUGGAGUGAAGACUUUCUGCCCAUCUCUUUGCCUUGAUUAGUAUACUUAUUGGACCCAACAAUCACAUACAACAAAACAUAACUAUUAUGUGUUAGAUAAGUAGACACCCUCAGCUGAAGCCACUAAGCUGUUGCUGAGGCUUAGUUGUUGAGACUGGAAGUGAUUUGAAAAGUCUUCAAAUGGCCAUUUGUGAGAGUGUUCUACUUAGGUAGCAAGUUGCCAUUGCCACCACAGAAAUAACCUCUACUGAACUUCCUAUUGGGUCUCAACUCUGAAUUGGAAAUUGUCCACUCACCCAUACAUGGGUUUAUCAUGAAGUGAUCGAAGCUUAAGCUUCAGGGUCCACCAUCUGUCAGGCUGCUUACAAGAUCCCAGCAAUACUGUUGUUAUAAAUUCAGAGAGCACUUUACACAGUCCCUGCCAAGAAAACUUGAAUUGCCCUGAAAUCGUACAGAUAAUUAAUGCUAAAAACUUGACAUUUUCCAAAUUUGACAAUAGUCUUAUAAAUGACUUUGGGAGUAGUGAGGUGUGAAACUGAAAGAAACUUUUCUAAUCUGUCAGUAAUGAAAAAAUUUAAUCAGCUAAUCUAGAGAAAAGAUGAAUUAUCUUUUAAUUCCCUCUAUAGGAAAUAUUACAAAAUCAUUAUCAGUUAAAGAUGUUAACAGAGGAUAUACAAACAAAACAAAACAAAAAAACAACAACCAUAGAUUAUGUCAUCAAAUUAGUAAAGCUUAUUUUUCUGGAUUUGGGAAUCUUUGUGGUAUUUGUCAGCUUUUCAAAAUUUGUAAUUAGUUGUAAUUGCUUUUCUCAUUCUAUAUGAAUAUUCAUUAUUAAACCUAGCUCUGUUUUU